Long non-coding RNA from Dendronephthya gigantea, 1063 nucleotides. RefSeq lists it as uncharacterized. NCBI's taxonomy places the organism in Eukaryota, Metazoa, Cnidaria, Anthozoa, Malacalcyonacea, Nephtheidae. The record is from RefSeq and is a predicted model, not a curated record. The transcript is spliced from 3 exons.
GUGUUAUGAAGCUUGGAUAAAUCUAUGCUGUGAACUUCUCUGAAACUGUUUUGACAAAACUUGUUACUAUAUUCUGCUGCAUUCCGUUUGCCAAACAUUAACCUCACAAGAUGAAAGAUUUCAAACUAAAAAUAAGACGUUUAGGAGUUCACGUCUUAGCUAGAGCUACUUAUAUAAUGAAUGAGAGUUCAAAGAGUUCACAUAUAGAGUGUUUGAACCUUUUUAAUUGACAUUUGACAAAUAGUUGAGGCUUAAGAGUUGAAAUCUCCCCUUCUUAAAAAGGAAAACUGAAUAAGAACUGCCCACUAAUCCAAGUCUAGGAUCACUUGACAGACGACAAAUGAAGGGGAUUCAGUUUUUGCGAAAUUUUUUUACAUGUUGCUAAACUCAUUUCAAAUUACAUAAGUCGACCAGUGUGCAUGAUCAAAUUACUCAGAGGCAAAAAUGCAAUAAUGUUCUUCAAAAAGUAAUAAAAUCUACAACAGUAAUAUAACUGAAUAACAAGCAAGCCAAGCAAGAUUUUUAAAGGUAGUUCUCAUUCAAAACAUUAACACGGCAGAAUUUCUACAGUGCUUUAGUCGGAUGAAAGGCAAUUACUCCCCCUGAAUGGAACAAUAGUCAAUCACAGUUAGACAGCAAACAUGCUGCUGGAGUCGAAACUCGAAAUUAGGUGGUAGUGGUGAAAGAUGUUCAAGCACUAUUCAACACCACCCUGAACUCAGCAAGUCAAAGGCUAUCUAUGUUCAAUCAAAGCAUUGUUCGCCAUAAUAACUACGCCAUUAAUUUUAAGAGUCGUUUUCUCCUGACAACAGAAAACUAUAUCCUGGAUACACUCAAUGUUUAACGCAAAAAUUUAAACUAAAAACUAAACAGUAUGGAAAAUGCGGCAGUUGACAUAAUCCGAAUCAAUCUGUAAGGUCUCGGUUACAAAUCUAAAUCCAAUUUGUUGUUCUUACUUACAAAAUUAAACUAAAAAACUUAAAACUAUUAGUACACGCAGUUUAUGUACGUACUUAGUAACUUAAUUGACAACUAACAAGGUGUAGCAUCACAUGCAUAAGGC